Molecule: long non-coding RNA, 359 nt
Organism: Xenopus tropicalis (tropical clawed frog)
Lineage: Eukaryota; Metazoa; Chordata; Amphibia; Anura; Pipidae
Exons: 3
Source: RefSeq, a predicted model, not a curated record
UUAAAGGAAAAAAAAUGUCAGAAAAAGUUGCAGAGAAGAAUCACUUCACUGACGGGAGUCGGACGCUGCAGGCCUUGUAAUGUAAACAGACCUUCUAACUGUGGCCGAACACUUCUCACCGGUGGUCUUGAGUUCAAUCCCUACCUGAGCAAAGAGCUGAUCUGCACCCAAACAAUCCGACUCCUUAUCUGGCGCAUCAGGUACCGAAACGACAACAAAAACCCGGGCGACAGGUGAAUUAUUUUCCUACCCUUACAGGCAGCGUCGGGCCGGACCUGCUUAGAUAUUCCUGCUCGUCCGAAUAGUUGGAAAUUAAAAGCAGUGGUGGAAAUGAGAUGCCACCAAUGACUAAUAGGUAA